UACAUGUGGGGCAAGCGUUGUUCGGAAUCACUGGGCAUAAAGGGUGCGUAGGCGGCAUGAUACGUCUUGGGUGAAAUCCUGCGGCCCAACCGCGGGUCUGCCUGAGAUACGGUCAAGCUGGAGUGCGUGAGGGGUGACUGGAACGCGUGGUGUAGCGGUGAAAUGCGUAGAUAUCACGCGGAAGGCCAACGGCGAAGGCAGGUCACUGGCACGCAACUGACGCUGAGUGCACGAAAGCGUGGGGAGCAAACAGG
This 254-nucleotide ribosomal RNA is filed under the name uncultured bacterium. Its description in RNAcentral is "partial 16S ribosomal RNA". It matches the Rfam family "Bacterial small subunit ribosomal RNA", at positions 524 to 776 of the family's 1533-position model. The record is from RNAcentral.